UUUCCGUAGGUGAACCUGCGGAAGGAUCAUUAUCGUACAACCGAGGUGCCCGGGCUGUCGCUGACCCCUCAAAGGUCGUGCACGCCCGAGCGCUCUCGCACAAUCCAUCUCACCCCUUUGUGCAUCACCGCGUGGGUCCCCCCCUUUUUCGGGGAGGGUUCGCGUUUUCACAUAAAACUUGAUACAGUCUAGAAUGUUUUAUUUUUGCGGUCACACGCGAUCAAUACAACUUUCAACAACGGAUCUCUUGGCUCUC
Molecule: unclassified non-coding RNA, 256 nt
Filed under: root metagenome
Description: partial contains small subunit ribosomal RNA, internal transcribed spacer 1, and 5.8S ribosomal RNA
Source: RNAcentral